UACGUAGGGGGCAAGCGUUGUCCGGAAUCAUUGGGCGUAAAGAGCGUGUAGGCGGUUCGGUAAGUCGGCUGUGAAAGUCCAGGGCUCAACCCUGGGAUGCCGGUCGAUACUGCCGGACUAGAGUUCGGAAGAGGCGAGUGGAAUUCCCGGUGUAGCGGUGAAAUGCGCAGAUAUCGGGAGGAACACCUAUGGCGAAGGCAGCUCGCUGGGACGUUCCUGCCGCUGAGACGCGAAAGCGUGGGGAGCAAACAGG
RNAcentral lists this ribosomal RNA (253 nucleotides) under uncultured bacterium. RNAcentral's name for it is "partial 16S ribosomal RNA". It matches the Rfam family "Bacterial small subunit ribosomal RNA", at positions 524 to 776 of the family's 1533-position model. The record is from RNAcentral.